UUUCGAGUAGACGUCCGUGCACUCACUGCCAAACCCAAAGGUUUGAGGGUGGAUGACGCUCAAACAGGCAUGCCUUGUGGAAUACCACAAGGCGCAAUGUGCGUUCAAAAAUUCGAUGAUUCACAAAGUCUGCAAUUCAUAUUACUUAUCGCAUUUCGCUGCGUUCUUCAUCGAUGCGAGAACCAAGAGAUCCGUUGUUGAAAGUUUUAAUUAUUUUUUGGUGUUGACAAAUUAUA
RNAcentral lists this unclassified non-coding RNA (236 nucleotides) under Suhomyces prunicola. RNAcentral describes it as "sequence contains ITS1, 5.8S rRNA gene, ITS2". Lineage: Eukaryota; Fungi; Ascomycota; Pichiomycetes; Serinales; Debaryomycetaceae. The record is from RNAcentral.